CGUAGGUUAGGUGGGCACUGGGACCAGCCCAUCUCAGCGUGAGUUCCUUCUACUCCUCGAAGUAGCUGCCUGAUCUUGGGCAAGACGCUGAACUCUUCUGGGCUUCUGUGUCCUCAAAUCCGUGCUGAGAGCCACCUUGAUGUAAACACAGGCCUAGGCAGUAUGGAGAGCGAGCAUUGCUUGCCUCCAAAGAGCCCUGAGCCCAGGCACUCACAACCUCUGCUGGGGAGUGAGGGCCGAUUUGUAGCAGCACUCUUGCUAGCCAGCCAGCUCAGCUCAGCGUUCCAAGAUGCAAGCUUGUAGGGCAGUGUGUCAAAUGUCCUUGGCAACCCAGAGGCUGUCACUUGCCAGCUUGCCAGUCUACCUGCCUGCCAUAAGCCUGUAUCCAGCAACCGCAUGCCAAGUACCGCCCAGGUAUUUCUCUGUGAAACAGUUCUGGCUGUCCUGGACUGCUGCCUCCCGAGUGCUGAGAUUAAAGGCAUGCAUCACCACCAC
This is a long non-coding RNA of Peromyscus eremicus (cactus mouse), 495 nucleotides long. RefSeq lists it as uncharacterized. The record is from RefSeq and is a predicted model, not a curated record. The transcript has 3 exons. NCBI's taxonomy places the organism in Eukaryota, Metazoa, Chordata, Mammalia, Rodentia, Cricetidae.